UUCCGGUUGAUCCCGCCGGAGGCCACUGCUAUGGGGGUCCGACUAAGCCAUGCGAGUCAUGGGGCGCGCUCUGCGCGCACCGGCGGACGGCUCAGUAACACGUCGGUAACCUACCCUCGGGAGGGGGAUAACCCCGGGAAACUGGGGCUAAUCCCCCAUAGGCCUGAGGUACUGGAAGGUCCUCAGGCCGAAAGGGGCUUUCGCCCGCCCGAGGAUGGGCCGGCGGCCGAUUAGGUAGUUGGUGGGGUAACGGCCCACCAAGCCGAAGAUCGGUACGGGCCAUGAGAGUGGGAGCCCGGAGAUGGACACUGAGACACGGGUCCAGGCCCUACGGGGCGCAGCAGGCGCGAAACCUCCGCAAUGCGGGAAACCGCGACGGGGGGACCCCCAGUGCCGUGGCAUCGCCACGGCUUUUCCGGAGUGUAAAGAGCUCCGGGAAUAAGGGCUGGGCAAGGCCGGUGGCAGCCGCCGCGGUAAUACCGGCGGCCCGAGUGGUGGCCGCUAUUAUUGGGCCUAAAGCGUCCGUAGCCGGGCCCGUAAGUCCCUGGCGAAAUCCCACGGCUCAACCGUGGGGCUUGCUGGGGAUACUGCGGGCCUUGGGACCGGGAGAGGCCGGGGGUACUCCUGGGGUAGGGGUGAAAUCCUAUAAUCCCAGGAGGACCGCCAGUGGCGAAGGCGCCCGGCUGGAACGGGUCCGACGGUGAGGGACGAAGGCCAGGGGAGCGAACCGGAUUAGAUACCCGGGUAGUCCUGGCUGUAAAGGAUGCGGGCUAGGUGUCGGGCGAGCUUCGAGCUCGCCCGGUGCCGAAGGGAAGCCGUUAAGCCCGCCGCCUGGGGAGUACGGCCGCAAGGCUGAAACUUAAAGGAAUUGGCGGGGGAGCACUACAAGGGGUGGAGCGUGCGGUUUAAUUGGAUUCAACGCCGGG
Molecule: ribosomal RNA, 926 nt
Filed under: uncultured archaeon
Lineage: Archaea
Description: bacterial SSU rRNA
Rfam family: Archaeal small subunit ribosomal RNA
Source: RNAcentral